AACGUAGGUACCGAGCGUUAUCCGGAUUUACUGGGCGUAAAGCGCGUUCAGGCGGUUUGGCAAGUCGGGCAUGAAAUCUCUCGGCUCAACCGGGAGAGGUUGUCCGAUACUGCUGGACUUGGGGGCAGUAGAGGGUGGUGGAAUUCCGGGUGUAGUGGUGAAAUGCGUAGAUAUCUGGAGGAACACCGGUGGCGAAGGCGGCAUCCUGGACCGGUAUUGACGCUGAUGCGCGAAAGCCAGGGGAGCAAACGGG
This 253-nucleotide ribosomal RNA is filed under the name uncultured bacterium. RNAcentral's name for it is "partial 16S ribosomal RNA". It matches the Rfam family "Bacterial small subunit ribosomal RNA", at positions 524 to 776 of the family's 1533-position model. The record is from RNAcentral.